This 293-nucleotide ribosomal RNA is filed under the name uncultured eukaryote. RNAcentral's name for it is "partial 18S ribosomal RNA". It matches the Rfam family "Eukaryotic small subunit ribosomal RNA", at positions 6 to 304 of the family's 1831-position model. The record is from RNAcentral.
GGUUGAUCCUGCCAGUAGUCAUAUGCUUGUCCCAAAGAUUAAGCCAUGCAUGUCCAAGUAUAAAUUGUUGUACGGUGAAACUGCGAAUGGCUCAUUAAAUCAGUUAUAAUUUAUUUGAAGGUUUCUUUACUAGUCGGAUAACCGUGGUAAUUCUAGAGCUAAUACGUGCUAAAGGCCCAACUCGCGACGGGCCGUAUUUAUUAGAUCAAAAACUGAUAGGCUUGUGCCUUUUUGGUGAUUCAUGAUAACUGAGCGGAUCGCAUGGCCUUGUGCUGGCGACGCUUCAUUCAAAU